This 492-nucleotide ribosomal RNA is filed under the name uncultured bacterium. Its description in RNAcentral is "partial 16S ribosomal RNA". It matches the Rfam family "Bacterial small subunit ribosomal RNA", at positions 29 to 507 of the family's 1533-position model. The record is from RNAcentral.
AGUGAACGCUGGCGGUAGGCCUAACACAUGCAAGUCGAACGGCAGCACAGUAAGAGCUUGCUCUUACGGGUGGCGAGUGGCGGACGGGUGAGGAAUACAUCGGAAUCUACUUUUUCGUGGGGGAUAACGUAGGGAAACUUACGCUAAUACCGCAUACGACCUACGGGUGAAAGCAGGGGAUCUUCGGACCUUGCGCGAUUGAAUGAGCCGAUGUCGGAUUAGCUAGUUGGCGGGGUAAAGGCCCACCAAGGCGACGAUCCGUAGCUGGUCUGAGAGGAUGAUCAGCCACACUGGAGCUGCGACACGGUCCAGACUCCUACGGGAGGCAGCAGUGGGGAAUAUUGGACAAUGGGCGCAAGCCUGAUCCAGCCAUACCGCGUGGGUGAAGAAGGCCUUCGGGUUGUAAAGCCCUUUUGUUGGGAAAGAAAAGCAGCAGGUUAAUACCCCGCUGUUCUGACGGUACCCAAAGAAUAAGCACCGGCUAACUUCGUG